AGUCGAGGGGCAGCAUGGACUCAGCUUUGCUGGGUUUGAUGGCGACCGGCGCACGGGUGAGUAACGCGUAUCCAACCUGCCCUUUACUCCGGGAUAGUCUCCUGAAAGGGAGUUUAAUACCGGAUGUGUUUGUCUUUCCGCAUGGGAGCGACAAAUAAAGAUUAAUUGGUAAAGGAUGGGGAUGCGUCCCAUUAGCUUGUUGGCGGGGUAACGGCCCACCAAGGCAACGAUGGGUAGGGGUUCUGAGAGGAAGGUCCCCCACAUUGGAACUGAGACACGGUCCAAACUCCUACGGGAGGCAGCAGUGAGGAAUAUUGGUCAAUGGGCGUAAGCCUGAACCAGCCAAGUAGCGUGAAGGACGACGGCCCUACGGGUUGUAAACUUCUUUUAUAAGGGAAUAAAGUUCGCCACGUGUGGUGUUUUGUAUGUACCUUAUGAAUAAGCAUCGGCUAAUUCCGUGCCAGCAGCCGCGGUAAUACGGAAGAUGCGAGCGUUAUCCGGAUUUAUUGGGUUUAAAGGGAGCGUAGGCGGGCUUUUAAGUCAGCGGUCAAAUGUCACGGCUCAACCGUGGCCAGCCGUUGAGACUGUAAGCCUUGAGUCUGCACAGGGCACAUGGAAUUCGUGGUGUAGCGGUGAAAUGCUUAGAUAUCACGAAGAACUCCGAUUGCGAAGGCAGCUCACUGGAGCGCAACUGACGCUGAAGCUCGAAAGUGCGGGUAUCGAACAGGAUUAGAUACCCUGGUAGUCCGCACGGUAAACGAUGGAUGCCCGCUGUUGGUCUGAAUAG
Molecule: ribosomal RNA, 787 nt
Filed under: uncultured bacterium
Lineage: Bacteria
Description: bacterial SSU rRNA
Rfam family: Bacterial small subunit ribosomal RNA
Source: RNAcentral